This 735-nucleotide ribosomal RNA is filed under the name Vibrio parahaemolyticus. RNAcentral describes it as "bacterial SSU rRNA". It matches the Rfam family "Bacterial small subunit ribosomal RNA", at positions 1 to 715 of the family's 1533-position model. Lineage: Bacteria; Pseudomonadati; Pseudomonadota; Gammaproteobacteria; Vibrionales; Vibrionaceae. The record is from RNAcentral.
AAAUUGAAGAGUUUGAUCAUGGCUCAGAUUGAACGCUGGCGGCAGGCCUAACACAUGCAAGUCGAGCGGAAACGAGUUAUCUGAACCUUCGGGGAACGAUAACGGCGUCGAGCGGCGGACGGGUGAGUAAUGCCUAGGAAAUUGCCCUGAUGUGGGGGAUAACCAUUGGAAACGAUGGCUAAUACCGCAUGAUGCCUACGGGCCAAAGAGGGGGACCUUCGGGCCUCUCGCGUCAGGAUAUGCCUAGGUGGGAUUAGCUAGUUGGUGAGGUAAGGGCUCACCAAGGCGACGAUCCCUAGCUGGUCUGAGAGGAUGAUCAGCCACACUGGAACUGAGACACGGUCCAGACUCCUACGGGAGGCAGCAGUGGGGAAUAUUGCACAAUGGGCGCAAGCCUGAUGCAGCCAUGCCGCGUGUGUGAAGAAGGCCUUCGGGUUGUAAAGCACUUUCAGUCGUGAGGAAGGUAGUGUAGUUAAUAGCUGCAUUAUUUGACGUUAGCGACAGAAGAAGCACCGGCUAACUCCGUGCCAGCAGCCGCGGUAAUACGGAGGGUGCGAGCGUUAAUCGGAAUUACUGGGCGUAAAGCGCAUGCAGGUGGUUUGUUAAGUCAGAUGUGAAAGCCCGGGGCUCAACCUCGGAAUUGCAUUUGAAACUGGCAGACUAGAGUACUGUAGAGGGGGGUAGAAUUUCAGGUGUAGCGGUGAAAUGCGUAGAGAUCUGAAGGAAUACCGGUGG